CCCAUCGCAAUCCUUCGUCCCCAACCACCCCAAGCCAGCCCCCACCAGCUUCAUCGUCUCCUCCUGCCGCGCCACCCGCUAUCCGGCCCUCUGCGUCCACUGCCUCGCCGCCUAUGGCCGUGCCAUCCAACGGAGCGACCACCACCUCGCCCAGGCCGCCCUUAUCGUCAGCCUCGCCCGGGCCCGCUCCGCCGCCUCCUUCAUGUCCAAGCUGUCCCGAGCUCGCCGCAUCAAGCUCCGCGAGCUCCGGGCCAUGAGGGACUGUGUCGAGAACAUGGGCGACACCGUGGACCGUCUCGCCGAUUCGGUGAGGGAGCUUGGGCGCUCGCGGUACGUGGGCCGGGACUUUGCGUGGCACAUGAGCAACGUGGAGACGUGGGUGAGCGCCGCGCUGACGGACGAGAACACCUGCACGGACGGAUUCGGGGGUCGGGUCAUGGAUGGGGGCGUCAAGGUGGCGGUGAGGGGGAGGGUGGUGGAUGUUGCUCGGGUGACGAGCAAUGCCCUCGCUCUCGUGAAUCGGUAUGCUUCCAGGCAUAGUCCGGCCACGGUGGCUGAACAGCCUUGAGUGAAGCAGAAGAUAAUAGCUUUUACCUUCUACUUUGCCUUGUUUUUUUUUUUUUUAACCCCGUUUUAUGGGAGGUGAGCAGCACUAGUAUGGUGAGUAUUGUUCCUGGCUUAUUAGACUUAGUCGAUGGAACUUAUCUUGCGUUGCCAGUUGUAUAUUCACAGUUUACUGUCCCCAGUUCUAUUGCAAGCGCGACAAACCUCUAAAUGACUUCGAUUGUUUUGUUCGCGCGAUAGGAUGGGUUCUUGCUUGUUUAUGCGAAACAGACUUGCGGUACAUGGUCGAUCCGCCAUGUCAAGAUUUAAUAGUUUGAUGUUGCGACCACUAAUCUCGCGUCUUACUCAGUCCACAAUACUGGAGUUUGCUUUUCAUACGAAAUCAGUUUUGUUGGCAAGUCAUAUACAGGUGAAGUACGAAUGCCACGAUAUAAUUGUGCCAAAGAGUUAUUUUUUGCCUUGGUGAUCUAGAAUGACUCUGCCGUGGUGUUGGCUCGUUUGAAUUGGUCAAGGAUCUAGCUAACAUCCGGAGAAUGAAGAUUGAAUGACUACUGGGGGCACCCGAAUCAUAUGAGCUCAGUUCAUAUUUUUCACGUAGCUCUGAAUUAGGUCAAUAUGCAUCACCUGCAGUUUAAGAAUUUUUGGGAAAAUGGGGUGGACAAUUUGAAGAUGACCUCAAAAUAGAUGAGGGGCUCAACAAAAACACUGGAAAUUAAGGAAUUUGUUUGCGGUUGACGUGGAAUAGAUUUUACUCUUUUGUGGUCGGAGAUUACGAUUAGGAGGGGACAAUCAGACUACGUGAUUUGCGACAAUUUUCUUCAAAGCUUCAUAGCAAUUUUCUUUAAAGCUUUUGAUGAUUGUGGAUUUCUCCUCUUUUACCAGCAGAUCGUCAAAUCAGAUUUGGGUUUAUUCUGGCACAUCAGCAAAGCAUUUUCUUCGACAUAACCAUCUUUUCCCUUCUCUUCGAGAUUGAGCUUAUCUUCAAGUGCCAUCUGCCACAGGAAUGUCUUAAAUUCGAGUUUUGACGUCCUAACUCAAGGGAGUUCAUGUCAAGCCUUGCUAACUACGUGAUUUUGCUCGCGUCCCCGCUGUGUUUCUGCUCAUAUUCGUACGUGUUAGUCCAGCUCACAGUCAUCGAAAUCAUUUUAAUAACAUGUCCGAGUACGUGAAUCGGGCUUGUCCACAUGACACAGGAAACAAUGAGCAAAAUGCAAGGCGUUUCUAAAGAGAGUAUAGACUGAACAGACGAGUCAUAUGCGAGUCAAAUGAUUCAGUGGAGUACGUUCUUACUUUUUCUCUCUGCAAAAGCUGACAGUAAAAAGUAGACGCAGGUAAUGCACCUUUGCAUCGUGGGGCUCACGUUCUUUGUCCUUUUUCUUUUUGUAAGAUGCUACUCUGGAUCAGUUCAUCAGAUUGAAUUUCAGAGACUCGUGAGGCGAUUAGAUGAUUUGUCAGGAAAAGAUUUUCUGAUCUAAGUCCAAAACAUUACGCCGAAUGGUCCAACCUAAGAUCCCAAGCUUCCCGGAUGUGAAUCAAUUGCUUUUGGUAAAUGGUAAGUCCUCCUUCUUGCCGAAGCUUGACCAAAGGUGCUAUGAAAUUCAUCGUCCUAUCCAAAGAAUAAGAAGGACCGAAAGCAUUAUGGCCUUGAUUGGAUUGUAGAAGUUCAAGUUCAAAUUUUUGCUAACAGGGUCACUUAAUUGAUGAUUGCAACAACUGUUGACGAGCAGCUCAAGAAAAGAUACGAAACUAAAAUCGAAGUGCAUUUGAACUAAAUAUGGUUAAUCCACUUAAUAACAAUGUAACCUACAAUAGAAAAUAUGUAGUCUAGAAAUCAUUGCCAAUUCUUUUAAAUGAUGUAUGUGUACUUUAAUAUUUAGUGUCCUUAUGAAGUAUUAACGAGAAGUUCAUGGAUCUGGCUUAUUUGAAUCUCUUUUGUUCCUUUUGUCCUGAUGAUGACCGCAGGAAUAUUAGGCAUAACCCAACCUGCUCUCUUGAAUCUUAUGAUUAUUGAUGAUGACAUUUUCACUCCAUGCAAUCGAGUGUUUCCACUCCCCCAUAAAGAAUUGCAGCUUGGUACGAUCAGUUUUUGCCUCAGAUGGCACCUCCAUUGAAAUUUCUCAAUCAUGAAUGAAUAGCAGAAAGUGGGGGGGCAGUUGGAGAAUUAUAGUCGUUCUGAAAAAGCAUGGCAGGGCAGAGUUAAUAGUAAGUACGGCAUGAUCUUUACGAGGGCUUCUUGACAUGGUCAGAUAGAAUUAAAUUUUGACAUGAAAUUUGUAUUUUCUUUGUUGAAAAAAUCACUACUACUGCGGCAAAAUUUUUAUUAUAAAAAAAAUUCUAUUUUUUUGUUUUCAAAAGUAAAUUUGAAAUUGAAUCGAGAAGUAAAAAAAAAUUAAUUUUUUGUUCUCAAGAAUAAAUCCUGAAUCAAGCGAACUUAUUUUUUUUUUAUUUUCUCUUCUUUCUUCUUGUUCUUCAUCCCUCUCUCUUCUUCUUCAACUGCCGCCGUCCACUACCACCGGUCGCCGAUAAUCGGUUUGGCGAGCUCAUUGAAAGCUCGCAAGGCCAGCAUGAGGUCUAGUAAGCUCGCCGGUGGCCAGGCAGGCCUCCCCCAACCACCGGUAAGACUCGCCUAACCGAACAAGGCUUGGCCGACAAGGCGUGGCCCCAUCGAGGGCCGGUAAUACUCCAGUGAGGUUGCUAAUCAUCCCAAGGCCAGCGACCGGCAACCUUGAAGAAGGAGAAGAGAAAGAAAAGAAAAGAAAAGAAAAUUAUUAAAAAAAUUAAAAGAAAAUUAUUUUGAUUAGAAAUUUUCAGAAAAUACAAUUCUAUUCUCAGAAUAAAAUUUUUGAAUAGUUACUGAACGAUUUAAAAUGCUUAAAAAUUAUUCUCGAGAACAAAAUAAAAAAGAAUCAUUUUUUUUAUCAAAAAUUGUUUUCGGAAGCAGAAUAGUUACCAAACACACUCUAAAUAUCCUAAAUUAUGCUUUUGACACUAAUAUUCUAAAUUUGUGUACCACCCAAAAUUCCAAACUUAUAUCCAUAUGACAUACUUACCUUCUAUCAUAAUUCCGUCAAUGAGAAUUGCUAUAUCCUUCGUGGCGGCUUACGUUAUAUGGUGUUGACAAGUAUGAUAAAUCGACACCGUAUGCUUUCUCUCUCUCUCUCUCAUUCAACUGCUACAUUGCUUUACAUUUAUGGAGUAGCCUUCCUAAGAUGUCCAGGCUUUGGACACAUUACUAGCUUUCACUUUCAGGUACAAAGUACGUGCGAAACCAUUUUUUGGAAGCUUAACAAAUAAACUCCACAAUAGUUGGUCAAGUGAAGUUUGGAACAUUUUAUUUCAUGAAUUUUUUUUUUCUAAUAGUAAAAAAAAAUGUAGUUUUGAACGUCAUAAAAUUUCACCUAGGAAAUAAAGAAAAAUUUCAAAUAAUAACCUAAAGUGCCAUUAUAUUCUCAAAUAAGGAUUUGGAGUGGAUAUUAUUGCAAAUAAAGGCAUGAAUGCUAUCAUUUUCUUAAAUAAGAACCUAAAGUGAAUAUUGUUUUAUGUAAGAGUUUGAAGUGGCCAUAUCAGUCUCAAAGAAGAACCUCAACUCACUAUUUGAUAAGGGCAAUUUUAUUUUUUUAAUUUUGUCUUUUUUCUAUUUUUCCCAAAAAAAUAAAAUAAAAAUUGAAAAAAUAGAGACGGAAAGGAGGGCUUCCUCCUACCUGUGGCCACCGCCCCAUCACCAAUGGGGUGGCGACAAUGGUCAGUGCAGUCGCCGGCACCAAGGGGGUGCCGACAACCCUCCCUUGCCUUCGAUCGUGAUCAACAAGGGUCACUGGCCCUGGGUCAGGCCCUCGCCAGCUAGCAUCGCCUCCUACAUCAUCUUCUUCUUCUUCUUCUUCUUCUUUUAAGUUUAGGCUUUUUUUUUAAAAAAAAUCUAUUUUUCAUACCAAAAAAUAUAAUUUAAUCUAAAUUUAAAUUGUGUUUUUACAAAAAUACCCUUGAUCGAUCAGAAUUUUUUGCUAGCCGAUGAUCCGGUAAGGCUAAGCCCUUAUUUAAAAUAAAGUUAAUCACUUCAGGUCAUUCUUUAAGACUAAUAUAACCACUUUAAGCCCUUAUUUGAAAUGAAAUCCAUUACAGAUUCUUAUUUGAGAAAUUAAAUACACUUCGGAUCCUUAUUUGCAAUGUUCCCAGGAAAUAAUUUACACGUCGAAAUAGAAACAACUUGUAAAAUAUCAUUAAUUACAAGAAUAUGAAGUAUAGUCAUUUAAGUUUGUUCUUUAACAAAGGGAAGUCUUUUGAAAAGUUUUCACUCUAAUUCAUAUCAGAUACGAAUAACGAGAAUUUUUUUUUUUUAAUCUGGUACGAAUAAUACGACUUUGUUUUCUUUUUUAUUAUUUCUCCGGCAUACACAGAACUCGGUUGACUCGCACCUAAGCGGAAGCAAGAUAAAGAGAAACCUCGCAGCCAAACGGGCCAAAACUCCAGCAUUACUUCGCAGCUUCCCUGCCUCAGCUUUGUUGGGCCUCUGGAAAAUGGACCGGACAUCAUUGGACUUUCCAAUAACCAUGAAAUACUGUUGUCCCUCUAAUUGAAACUCUGUUUCCACAUCCGAUGGUCUUCCAGGACAACAUAUUCAUCUCAUCUCCAUCACUUGUUUUCUCAUUCUGUGUAUAGAGAUCAAGAAAAGAUUGCAUAAGGAUGCUGUGGAAGCACACUGGCCUAACCACUUCAAAUGCAAUUAUUUUUGUAUGGAAAUUGCUUAAUAAGACCCUUCUGAAUAAGCACAGAAGACCAUAUCCGCAGUUCUCAAACCUCCCAGCAUUUCACAAUUUUGACACAACCGAGUUCCAAGGUGACCAAAAUGAUGCGGGGAAGAGGAAAAGGAAUCAACUGAUAUCACUUAUGAUGGAGAUGAAGUCAGUUUGACUCAGUAUAACACUGGCUCACUAAUUGAAUCCUUAGUUCCCCUUAAAGAUUGAAAAUUGGUACUUCCCUUGCAAUUAUUCUGACUCAGAAUUUGAGGGUUAAGUUACAAUCCCAGCACUAUCAAUAUAAAUUAGGUCGGAAAGAUCUUUCCUUUCAACAAAAACAGCUCCAAAAGGACAGUUCUUACCGACAACAAGGUGAAGAGUGUGCGUGUUAGCACAAUGAAAUUUAAGCAACUGCAUUGUGCUGUUGUUGCUCUUAAAACCAUUCUGGAGGCCACCAAUCUGGUUUAACUGCCUCUACAUUGAGAUCUUGCCCAAGUUUGGCAAGCAAACUGGACUUUUUGAGAGCAUCUUCCAACUGUAAUAGACCUAGACCUCGACAUCCCAGAAUGGAGGUGACUAUUCCAAUUCUCCUGCCAGAUGCAGCAUCCAGGAUUUCUAAUCCAGAAGAAACUUUCUGCUCUGCUUCUAUAAUAAGAAGGAGCAUUAGAGAUCCAUCAAAUACAUAUGCCAGAAAAAAGGACCGGCAACAAUAACAGAGGCAGAAGAUUUACCUUUUCUGUUAUCGUGAAGGAACUUCAAAGGCAGCAAACGCUUGCGAAUCAUAUCUCGGUGAUGGGUCAGCAACCCUUAUCGAAGCUAAUCGUAAUAAGACCUUCUAGAUUGUAUUCCAGUGGAAUUGCCUCUCCUACAUAAAAAAAGAGUUGAAUGAUCAAGAUUACGUGGUGCAGAGAGAGGCAAUACACAGUAGAAAUAGCUUCUGCUGCAUUGAAAGUCUAAAGCACCAAAAUCCAACUAUGUGCCUUGAAGAGAAUCAUCAUGUGGAAAGAAACAAAUCUCAUUCAGAUAUUCUGAAUGCCUUCAAGCAGUUACGGGAAAGGGAUUUGCUAAGAAUUUCUGACAAGAAGGUUCUAUAUCUCAAGAUACUUAACAAAUUUCAACCCAACUAAAACAUAUUAAAUUGAGAAAUUGCUAAACAAGACGAACCCUUAGGAAUCUCUAUUGAGCCCUCCGCAAAUCCCUUCUCUAGUCUCAAAAGAAGACAAACUUUUUAAUCUGUUUCUUUGUCUGCUUCAACCAAAGGAGCUGCAAUAGAACAUGAUAGAAGUUAACAGUCUAGGUUAAAGGGUAUUUGCAGGGAAUAAAAGAAGCUGGCCCAGUUUUUAAAGCCAUAACGUCGAAGACAUGCGAGCAACCAAAACGAGAAAGGACAAGAAACACAAACGUUCUGAAGAUGGAAAUAUUCCUCUAUAACCCAGAGAGUCUAAUCUAGGAUCUUUGAACCACUGCCACCGAAUAUCAUUUCCUUGUGAAGCAGACAUAGCGGAUUUGUCAAUGCCAGCACCCCAGCCAACACUAGCAGCAUCUGGCUCCUUUGCUGUUGAGGACUUGUGAGAGUAGUUAGUGUCGUAACGCUGCCAGUAAGUGAAAUCUUUGGAUAUAUUUCCAAUAUCUACUUUGGCCCUCAAUCGGUACCUGCAGCAACAGGAUAAUGAGAAACUGUACGCAUGAGCCCAAGAGAAAGUCAUCAUUUUUAUUUUGUUGGGAGGGGAAAAGUUCCUGGUGCACUUCAUAUUUUCAGCAAAGCCCAUCUAUUAACCAGAAAGUAACAGGGGGAAAAAAGAAACUACUUUACAUGCACAAGAAGGCAGAAGCAUUAGAAACUGCCUACAGAAAGAACUAAAUUGAGGUCAAGGAGAGACCAAAGGUAAUUCUAAAGAUUACUUUUAUGCAAUUGAGUUCCCACUUCCCAGAUUGGUUGAACAAAUAUUAACUAAUGGAAAUUCAUCAACCUACUCAGCUAUAGAGGGGCAGAAAGCUGCCACUUCACAGCAUCCAAUUUGCCUACAUCAUAUUGAUUGGAGGACCCUAUGAGGCUAGAAUGAUACCAAACCAAGAUCGGUGCACUGAAAUUCUUCAAAAAAGAAACCUUGUUUGAUCAUCCAUACUUAUAAUGAUCUUCAUUAUGCCAAAUUUUUUUAAAAGAUGCCUCACACCUUAUAAAUUGCUUCCUCUUGAAUAAAGACAACAUGUGAUGGUUAAGAUUAGGGUAAAGCACACAACUUCGUAUCUGCCUAGGAGCUUCAUCUGCUACACCAACAUAAAAAAUAAUGCAGCAAGCUCAAUAAUACCUAAUCCUUACAGACACCAUUGGUUCAAAAGCAGAAGGAGGAUGAAGCUUCAGUUCAUCCUGAGGGUCUAGGAUAGUAAAUAGCAGUUAUGAGUAAUUCUUGCGAUGAUAGAAGAAAGAAGGAUGAAGUUUCAGUUCAUCAUAGGGAUGAAGGCAUGCUAUUACAUGAGUGGUGAGACUGGAGAACACUAUCAUGUUUGAUAGCUCGCAAUUGAAGCUUUGUAAAUUCUUCUGAUCACCUGGAUAGCAAUUAAUAUCCAAGGUUCUUCCUUGAAUACAAACUACAAAUUUGCAGUUGCACAGACAUUUUUAAAAAAAUCAACCUUGAAAACAUUGGAAAAAACAGAAUUUAUGAGCAGCCUAAGACUCCAGAGAACCACAGAAAAUUCACAUUUCUCAAUCAAUUGCAGCUAAGAGAACAACUUGUGCCAUGUUAGGAUGGAUAAAACUGAAGGAAAAUGAAAGGAAACUAUUCCCCAAGACAAAACAUAGUGACAAGGAUACCAACGCACGCAUAAACAUUUCCAUCCUCCCUUCACAAACCAUACAUAAAUUCAGAUAUUUACCCCAAAAACAAGACGAUGAUUUAAAAUUUCAAUGAACUCACCUUUUGAAUGUCUGCACAACCUCAUCCAAGACCUGCGCAUCCAUGUCUGCGAGAGGCUCAAGCUCCCCGUCAUUGGACCCAGGUCCGGAUCCAGUCUUCUUGAGCUUCUCUUGGGGCCUCGUGGGCCUUAUCAGAAACAGGUCACAUAAAAACCUCCCUUGAGGAGUCAACAGAGCAGCAUACAUCGAAGGAAACGUAAUCACGGGCAUGUUGGGCGUGGCCGGGUUUAAAAUCUUCUCGCUGGGGGUUUCACCGAAUCGCUGCACAUCGUUGCUCAAUAGGCCCUGGAGGAACUUGAUCUUACCCGGGCCGCUGAACUGGAUAACGGACCGGGCCCUGAGCCCGGAGGCCAUUGACCUGACAUUGUCGAGGUUGUGUUGGUGGUGGUUGCAGCGGAGCGUCAAGUAACUAGACGCGAUGGAUUUGGGUUACCAAAGAUGAGACUUAAACCGAUGCAUCUUUUUGUUCUUUUUCGGCAGAUCAGCGAUUCAAAUGAUUUACAGUUUUGGGUUGAAAAUGGAGGAGCAGCAAGACAGGAGUGAUGCUCAAUUGCAUGAGGGAGCUUCGAAGGGUGACAUGUAGCUCCUUGCGCUAUGCCAUGCGGACAAGAAAGCUACAACUUCGACAUAUGAACGACCUGCAACUAUAGAGGGUUUCUCUACACCUAAACAAUUACGCUACAUGCAUCUUGAACACCUCAAUCUAGAAAAUAAACCCGGACAUUCUCAGCUCAGAUGACGAUUCAGCAACAUAUUUGAAGCGGUAUCUAAUCCGAUGAGAGCAGAGCAAACCGACGCACUAUAGGAACGAGGGCUCUUGGCCAUCAAAGGAUGGAUCGGGAGCUACGUCACCAGCUCAACAUACCAAGCAGUAACGUACAUGUAACGCUACACAAUUCUCAAAUCAAUGCUAAUGUCUCUGAGGCAAGUCGUCGAACAGGUGGUGAACGCGAUGACGUGAGAUGGUUAUCCAGAUGUUAGCAGAGACGAAUCAACCAAUUCGAAGGCAAACGAAGAACGAUCCAACGUCAGAGUGCUCUCAACCGAAGAGAAACAGAACAUCCUAGGAUGAUUACCUGGGAUCGGCUACAGUGACGCGCGACUUGAAUCGCGGGGGCGGAAGAGAGCGGUGACGAUGUGGAGAACGCACUCACUGGAAAUGACGGCGCCGAUCGGAGGUAGGAUGGUCGUCGGCGUGGCGCGGCGGCGAAGGAUUUUCUCGCCGGAGGGGGGCGGAGAGGGAGGUCCCUGCUUGCUUCUCUUUCCGUUCCUGUGGCGAGGUGGGCGGGCUCGGUGAAUGGGCUUUGCUCGUUUAACGGGCUCUGGUCACUUUUGUGGGCUUUAAUUGGGGUCUGGAUGGGAUUUUUGUUGGAAAAUGUCUAGGUUGGUCCGUUAAUUUUUGUUAUUUUUGUUUAUUGGCUUAUUAUUAAUUCUUUGUUCUUUUUAUUAUUUAUUUUUCACUUUUACAAAAAAAAAAAUAGCUUGCGUUGUAGCCAAAAAAAAAAAGGUUUGAUUGACGAAAAUUGACCAAAAAAAAAGAGUUAAUCUUCAAUUCUUUUGUAAUUAUCUUAAGCUCAGAGAGCAAUUGUCGAAGUCUAAAAUCUUAAAUCAAGCAAGAACCUAACUUCAACAGACUCAAACUACCUAAAUCUCUUCUUUUUUGGCAUUUAGCUCGCAUUCAAUAGCGACAAAACAUAACAAUCUUAAACUUCUCCUGCAUAUUUUCAGAGGGCAAAAACGAGAAUUCAUAGAGAAAACCAAAAAUGGAAAGAAGAAGAAGAAGAAGAAUCUCCCCAAUCUUCAAUACCCGAAAAAUACAUCCAUCAUCUUUGCCCUUUAAAAUGACAAAGGGCUGAGCCACUCUAAGCCGAAAGCAAUAGCGAAUCUUGAACUUGUUCAUGCUCAUCCAAACCGGCCUAAAAAAAGUUAUUGGAAAGCAAAGCCCUUCCUUCCAAUCCAAAUUGAUGAAGCUGCCCCUAUAUCUAUUCACCACUCACCCCGAUCACAUAUUGGCACGUUCAUGAUACAUCAUGAUCAAAAGCUCUAAAAAGGACCUAUGCAUUAGUGUACUAUCAUGAUUAUAUAUUGGCUCGAUUUUCCUGAUCGCUUGAAGGCGAAGCCACCUAUUUCUUCGGGCAAAGGGUGCUCCCUCCUCCUAACUCCUUCCACUUCUCCCCGGGACAGGGACUAUGGCUUGACCUUUGAGGGAGAACUACAUGGGACCACGACCUUCAGCGAAGCUUGGUCGAAGAACCAGAUGAAGGCGAACCUCUACAGUUCCUCUCUCCUGCUCCUUCAAGACAAACGCGUUCGAAACGUCGCCAUACCUAAGUGCUCUUGCAACACGUCUCUGGUUGUCUCCCUUGCGACGCAGGUCACUGGACAGGAGGGAGAGAGGACCGAAGAGCGAGUUGGAUUCAUCCAAACAACAAGGAAAAGGUUCGCCAAAGUGAAGUUUUGGUUUUUUCUCUUCAGCCCAUGAAAAAAAUGGCAAACUCUGGGCGAGACCCAUGUUCGGGCGGAGUCCUCACUUGAUUUGAGUCCCCAUUUUUAGAAUAAAAAAAUCCAUUUUUUUUAAAAAAAAAAAAGCUUAGAAAUUAGCUUUUGAUUAGUUUUGUCAGUUUUCUAACUUUAAUACUAGUUUAAAAUUAGUUUAAAUUUUCCUAGAUUAAAAUUCACAAUUUAGGUAUUUGCUCAUCAUAUGGUAAGUAAGCAAGUACAAGUUGCCCAUAUUAAAUUGGGCCUUUGAUUCACAAAAUGGGUUUGCUAGCCCUAACAUCGGUGAAUGGAAGGAUAAUGUAGGAUUGGGCAAUCUUAGAAGGCUCAAGUAUUAGGAGGCAGGUGUUAUAGUAUAAAGCUUAAUCUAUGAGAAAAUGUGAUAUUACUUUCGGUAUUCUUAUCUUUGAAUCCCUCGACAUGAAAAAUUACCAAGAUAUUUAUAAGAACAUGGCCAAUAUGCUAAGUCAGCAAGAUCUUACCCUAUAGCAACGUAAGCAUAUCGGCGAAUGAUAUAUCCCCACAUGUCAUGAGGACAUGGGAUCAUAUAUAUGGUGAUCGCGCAUUAGGACACUAGUGGGAAGAUAAAGAAUAAACAUUAUUAAAUAUUUUCUAAUGAGUCCUGUGCUAAGUCUAUCUAGUCAAAUCUCUCUAAUCAUCAUAAAAAGAUACAGAAAAAUCCACGAUCAUGCCAUUAAUCUAGAGUCAUCCCUAAUGAGACCAGAGGAGCCCCAUUUUGAGUCUCCAAAUCCAAAUAUCUUCAAAUCAUCACAAUCAAAUAGAAAUAAUCCAAAAUCCCGUGACUAGUAAAAUAGUUAACUCACAUGGAAUGUAACUCCCGAUGUGAAACGAAAAAUUGCAAUUCGUAGAAUUUCUUACACAUGACUUGAGCGGAAAAGAAUAAACGAUAAAGUAAAAGCCAAAGCAAAAGUAGAAAGCAAAGAAGCUCAUAGGGAUAGGAAGGCGCGCAGCCAUGAUUUUGCCUGCACGUACGGUUUCACCCUUUAUUGACGGCUUCCAUAGGAAGACUCUUUUUGGACCAUCCUUAAAAGGCUUACGGCGAAAACAGGUGAGAGAACCGUCCCGGGGUGAGAAACCCCACGCUGUCUUCCUAUUCCCUCUCUGUCGAGAAGAUAAAGAUAGAUAAGGAAUUAUGGGGUUUCACAAUGAUAAAGAUAGACAUCACGUCAGGACUUCGGUUCUGGUUACUAUCGGGUAGGCAGGUAUAAUAGUCUCCCAUGCCUAGAGUGAGUGAGAAUGGGUUAAAUGCCGACAGCUAGGUUAACACGUCUUACGGCACUGUGACCUAGUUCCCCCGAUUGAGAACAGUGCCAUAAAACCUAGUGUUGUAUGACUGAGUCGGACCGAGCUUAACCUGAACUCAGAUUCGAUGCAGCUUAUAUAUUUCAUGCUUGAAAGUCGACUUGAAUUUAAUCAGCUUAAGCUUGAUUCGAAUAGGAGAUUUAGAUAUACGUGUGCUCGACUCGACUUGACUUGACUAGAACGAAAUUACUAAGGAGCUUGAUUUUGAUAUCAUAAAGUUCUAAUCUUUUUCCUGAGUUCAUAUUUAUGUGAGUCCUUUAUUUGAGAAUUUAUUACAUAUUCUUCAAAGAAACAAUCGGAUAAUCAUGGACUCGUUAUUUUUUUAUACUAAACUUCUCCCCAGAAAUAUAAGAACAAAUUUCGCUCGGUGAAUGGGCUUUGCUCGUUUAAUGGGCUCUGGUCACUUUUGUGGGCUUAAAUUGGGGUCUGGAUGAGAUUUUUGUUGGAAAAAGUCCAGAUUGAUCCGUUAAUUUUGGUUUUUUUUUUUUGUUUAUUGGCUUAUUAUGAAAUUUUUUGUUCUUUUUGUUCUUUUUUUUUUUUUUAAUAUUGCUUGAAUUGUAGCAAAAAAUCAGGUCUCGAUUGAAGAAAAUUGACCAAAAAAAAAACAGAGUUAAUCUUCGACUCAUCAUCUUAAGCUCAGAUAACAACGUUGAAAUUUAAAAUCUAAAAAUCAAUCAAGAACCUAACUUCAACAAAUCCACAAUUCCAAAUUCUCUUCUUUUUUCACAUUCCGCUUGCAUUCAAUAGCAAUCCCACCUACCUCCAGAAAUGAAAAAUCGAAAAUUCAUUGAGAAAAUCAAAAUCGAAAAAAAAGAAGAAAAGAAGUGCCCAAAUGUUCAAUACCGGAACAACAUAUCCAUCGUCUUUGAGAACGGUCUUCAGCGAAGCUUGGUCAAAGAACUAGAUGAACACAAACCCCUAGAGUUCCUGUGUUUUGAUCGUUCAGGACAAAUGUGUUCGAAAUGUUGCCAUACUUUUUGCAGUGCAUCUUUGGUCGUCUCCCUUGCGAUGCGGGUCACUGGAGAGGAGGGAGAAAGGAGCGAAGAGCGAAGUUGGAUUUGUGUGAGCAGCAAGGAAGGAAACGGUUCGCCAAAGUGAAGUUUUGGUGUUUUCUAUUUAGCCCAUCAAUCAGAGUCCUAACUUGAUCCAAGUCCCCAUUUUUAGAAUAAAUUUUUUUUAAAAAAUUUAAAGAAAGAAAAGGCUUAGCUUUUGAUGAGUUAUGAUAGAUUUCUAGCGUUAAUAUUAGUUAAAAAUGAGUUUUAGAUUUUCCUAGAUAAAAAUUCACAAUUUAGGGAUUUGCCCAUCUGAGCAAGUACAAGUUACUCAUAUUAAAUUGGGCCCUUUUCGUCUAAGUCACAAAAAGGGUUUGCCGGCCCUAAUAUGAGUGAAUGGAAGGAUAGUGGAGGAUUAGGCAAUCUUAGAAGGCCAAAGUAGUAGAAGGCAGGUGUUAUAGGAUAAAGCUUACUCUAUGAGAAAAUGUGAUAUUAUUUCCAAUAUUCUUUUAUCUUUGAAUCACUCGGAAUGAAAAACUAUUGAGAUACUUAUAGGUAUUGGCCACUAAGUGAGCAAGAUUUUGCCAUAUGGCAAUGUAAACAUAUCCGCGAAUGGCAAUGAGGACAUAGGGUCACGGAUGGGGAUCGCCCAUUACAACACAGGUGGGGAGGUAAAAGAUAAACAUUAGUAGACCUUUUUCUAAUGAGCCCCGUAUCAAGGUCAAAUUAUCAUAAAAAAGAGAUGGGAAAAAUCCACCAUCAUGCAUUAAUCUCGAGUCAUCCCUCUUUAGACCAAAGGAACCCCAUUUUGAGUAUGAAGCCAAAUAUCUUCAAAUCAUCACAAGAAAAUCAAAAUAAUCCAAAAUCCAGCGACUAGUGAAAUUGUUGAUUGGCAUCGAAUGUACCUAUCGAUAUAAAACGAAAAUUUGCAAUUCGUAGAAUCUCUCACGCCUGAUUUAAGCGCAAAAGGAUAAAGGAUAAAGUAAAAGCCAAAGCAAAAGUAGAAAGCAAAGAAGCUCGCAAGGACAAGACGGGGCGCAGCCAUGAUGCUGCCUGCACCCUUUGUUGACGGCUUCCAUAGGAAGAUAAAACAAAUCCCCCCCUUCCUUUUUCCCCUUCUCCUCAACCAAGUGCGGUGGGGUUUUUUAUUUUUUGUUUUUUGGAUCUAUAGCCACCCGGUAUCCGGAGCCUUCGCCCCAACUAAUUCGGAUGCGAGCAUUGUCAGACCCAUAAUAGGGGGCUCUCCCAGCGCAUCAGCUUCGUACACGAGACUCGAACUUGAGAUCUUACCUAGUGCAUGUUUGGUAACUAUCCCAAGAGUGUCUAAUUUUGAUUUUUUAUUCCCGAAAAUAGUUUGAAAACAUAAUUGCGUUUGGUAAAAUUUUUGUUUCCGAGAACAAAUUUCUAUUUUUUUGUUCCUAGAAUUAGAUUUGGAAUAGAAUAAAAAAUAAAAAAAGCUGAUUCUUGUUCUGGGAACAAAUUUAAGAAUCAAAACUAACUAUUUUUAUUCUUCUAUUUUCUCUUCUUCUUCAUCCCGCCGCCACCGUCCGCCGUCGUCCGCCACCGUAUGCUGCCGCCUGCUAAUGAUCGUCGGAGGCUCGCUAGAGGCAUGCCUAGCCUGGCCCCAGCAAGGCUUGCCCAACCCCGCCAGUGGCCAGGCGAGCCUCGCCAAGGCUGGGCUUGCCUCGCGAUGUCCAGCCCCGGCGAGGCCGCUUGGCCACCGAUGAGGCUUGCCCGGCCUUGUCGGUGGCCAAGCGGGGCUUGUCGAGCCAUCGGCGAGGCUCGGCCUCACCAGAUUUGGCUAGGUGGUGGCCCUUGUCUGGUGAGGCCGAGCCUCAACGAGGCUGGGCGAGCCUCGUCGUUGGCCAGGUGGGCCUCGCCUAGGCUCGGCCGAUAAGGGCCGGCGACACUCCGAUGAGGUCGUUGGCCCUUGUCUGGCCGGUGGCCGGUCAUCGAGAAGAAGAAGAAGAAGAAUAGGAGAAAAAGGAAAGAAAAAAAAAAGAAAAAAAAAGUAAAAGAAUUAUUUAAAAAUUGAAAGAAAUUGAUUUGGAAUAUAAUCAAUGAGCACGGUACCAAAUGCAAUUAUAUUCCAGAAUCAGAAAUUUUUAACAGUUAUCAAACAGCUUAAAAUACUAAGAAAUUGUUCCUGGGAAUAUAAUUAAAAAAAAAUUAUUUCAAAUCAGAAUCUGUUUUGUUCCAAAAAAAAAAAUCAGAAUCUGUUUCCGAGAAUAGAAUUAUUACCAAACACGCCCUUAAGGGAACCCAAGCUCUUUAUCACUUGGGCCAACAGACAUUUGUAGUGUGGUGGUAUUUCAAAUGUAGACUUAGUUUAUUUUACAUAAAAUAUAACAUUUUUGGAAAAUGGUUUUUAUUUUUCAGAAAAAUCAUUGCAUUUUUCAGUGUUCCGUUGAAACUUGAAAAUAGGCUAGAAUAUAUAUUUUGUUGUUCAGUAAAGGAAAUCUUUUCCUUGAUACACAAUGUAAAUGAAAUUUUAUUAUUAUAUUUUUAAUUGAUUUUAAUUAUUUUUUAUUUCUUUUUCUUUUUCUUUUCCUUUUCUUCUUCAUUGGUUGGUCGCUAACCAUAGUCUCGCCACAAGCUGAGCUCACCCAACGCCAGUGACCUCAAGCAAGGGUCACUAAACGUUGGCGAGGAUCUAGCAAUCUCAAGUUACACUUUACUAGCGCUUUGCUAGAUCUAGUAGGGCUCAACCUUACCAAUGUUGGGCAAGGUGGACCUCAUUUAAAUAUGGCAAGCUCGAGCCUCAUCAAAUUAUUGGUGAGGCUUUAGCUCGCCUAUAACUGGUCACCAGUUGUUGCCGUGGUAGCAACCGGUCAAUGAAGAAAAAAAGAAAAGAAAAGGAAAUUAUAAUUAAAAUGAUUUUUAAUAAAAAUUAAAAAAGAAAAGAAAAGAAAAGGUUUUUGAUAAAAAGGAGUGGUGAAAAAAGACGUGAAAAAUGUUUUCUACUUCUCAAAAGUCAAAAUCAUUUUUCCCUAUGUUUGAAUAUUUUUUUCCUUUUAUAGAAAAUGUUUUCCCCAACUAAUUCAUUUUCCGUAAAACGAACAUCGAAAAAUCCAGAAAACUUUUUUGUAAAAUUAUCUUAUGUGAAUCAAACGAAGCUCUAGUGUUAUAAAAAAGAGUCAGACCGAGCUUAACCUGAGCUCGAUUAGAUGCGACUUACAUUUAUCAUGCUCGAAAGUCAACCUGAAUUUAAUCAGCUUUAGCAUGAUUCGAAUAGAAAAUUUAGAUAUGCAUCUGCUCGACUCCACUUGAGUUGAUUAGAUUAGAACGAAGUUACUAAGAAACUUGAUUUCAAUCUCAAUAAGCUCUAAUCUUUUCCCUGAGUUCAUAUUUAUGUGAGUCCUUUAUUUGAGAAUUUAUUACAUAUUCUUCAAAGAAACAAUCGGAUAAUCAUGGACUCGUUAUUUUUUUAUACUAAACUUCUCCCCAGAAAUAUAAGAACAAAUUUCGCUCUGCUCUCGGCAGCCCAUCGUUUAUUUAAACCUCUCUCUCUCUCUCCCCCCAGACAAAAAUGGCGAAACCAAGACCAUCUCUCUCCUUCUUCUUCUUCUUCUUCCUCCUCUUCCUCGUACUCUCCCUCGCCACCACCCCAGCCCAAUCCUUCGUCCCCAGCCACCCCAAACCAGCCCCCACCAGCUUCAUCGUCUCCUCCUGCCGCGCCACCCGCUAUCCGGCCCUCUGCGUCCACUGCCUCGCCGCCUAUGGCCGCGCCAUCCAACAGAGCGACCGCCACCUCGCCCAGGCCGCCCUCAUCGUCAGCCUCGCCCGGGCCCGCUCCGCCGCCUCCUUCGUGUCCAGGCUGUCCCGAGCUCGCCGCAUCAAGCUCCGCGAGCUCCGGGCCGUGAGGGACUGCGUCGAGAACAUGGGCGACUCCGUGGACCG
This 16922-nucleotide long non-coding RNA is filed under the name Eucalyptus grandis. Its description in RNAcentral is "long non-coding RNA (EGRA_LNC002445)". The record is from RNAcentral. Lineage: Eukaryota; Viridiplantae; Streptophyta; Magnoliopsida; Myrtales; Myrtaceae.